Ribosomal RNA from Pteropus vampyrus (large flying fox), 124 nucleotides. The record is from Ensembl. Lineage: Eukaryota; Metazoa; Chordata; Mammalia; Chiroptera; Pteropodidae.
GUCUCCGGCCAUGCUACCCUGAGCAAGCCUGAUCCCGUCUGAUCUCAGAAGCUAAGCAGGGUUGAGUCGGGCCUGGUUAGUACUUGAAUGGGAGACCAUCUAGGAAGACCAGGUGCUGUAAAAA